CCUGACUUCAAGAUCUUCCCGCCUUGGCCUCCCAAAGUGCUGAGAUGACAGGCGUGAGCCACUGCGCCCGGCCUCCGCUGGUUAUUUUCAAGUUUGAUAGAAGUUGAGGAUUUAAAUAUUUACUAAAGGGCUCAGGGUAACUAUAUUUGUUACGUAAAAUUUAAGUUAAUUUUUGAUUAUUAUGUGUAAUUUGAAUUAGGUCCUGUAAUGGUGGGUUCAGAAAGUCUCAUUUUAUAUCUUUGGUUUUUUUUUUGUUUUGUUUUUAUUUUUUUUUGAGACAGAGUUUCACUCUUGUUGCCCAGGCUGGAGUGCAAUGGCGCAAUCUUGGCUCACUGCAACCUCCACCUCGCGGGUUCAAGGGAUUAUCCUGUCUCAGCUUCCCAGGUAGCUGAGAUUACAGGUGCCCACCACCACGCCUGGCUAAUUUUUUGUAUUUUUCAUGAAGUUGGGGUUUUACCAUUUUGGCCUGGCUGGUCUUGAACUCCUGACCUCAGGUGAUCCACUCACCGUGGCCUCCUGAAGUGCUGGGAUUACAGACCUGAGCCACAGCGCCCGGCCUUGGUGGUGGUCUUAUUGAAGGGGAAACACUUUUGAAAUCAAUAGGAUGAAGGUUUUUUAAAAACAAUGAAGUCUUAAAUCAUUAGAUUUUAAAGUGGGGUCUGGAGGUGGAAGACAGCUUAUUUUUGCUGUGUAACAUUUAGUACUUAACCAUACAUAAUUAUCAAUGCAAGUUUUUUGUCCUAGGUGCAAGAUUAUAUUUAUUUGAGAGUAUCAGGUGAACAAGUUUACAUUUAAAGGCGAGAAUUGUGUUAAGCAUUUGGUAUUGUCAUUAUAGUUUUAGUAAAACCAUCAAGUUAUCUCGAUAGAGUUUGAAACUAAGCUCUUUGGUGGACUGCUACUGUUUAUUAAGUAGGUAUCACAUUUCUAUAGCAAGACAUAGUUGAGUUGUGUAAAUCUUGUAUUUUGAAGGAUUGAAUUGUGAAAAUUAUUUGUCUUUUGGCAAUCUUUCUGAAUAGAGAGCGUGCAUGAGCAAGUUUGCAUUGCAGUUAAUAGGUGAAAAUUGCUGAGCACCUAAGUAACUAAAAAGGAGGUGAUGAAUUAGGUUACAGAAUUAGUUUUGUCCACCCUUUACCUGUCUACUCCAUUAUUUGAUUUUUGCCAGCAUUCAGCAUGCUUUUUCUGUAAAGGACCAGUAAAUAGUAAUUAUUUUAGGCUUUGCGGCCAGGGUGCAAAAUUGAGGAUAUUAUGUAGGUACUUAAUUUUAAAAGAAAGAAAAAAUUUACAGUUUUUUAAAAUUUCAGUCCGAAAUGUCAAUCUGUAAAUUUUUUGUUGAUUAAAAUACAACAAUAUAAGAUAGAACAUUUUGUAAUACAGGCCUACAAAUGAGAAAUGAGAAUUUUAUUUUUGUGAGGGUAGGGGAGAUAACAUUUAGCUGAAUUGGGGUUCAGAGUUAGUGUUUUCUGUAAUCAAAUCGAUUGCUAAUGUUUAUCUGUAAAAACCGUUCUUACCUUCCGGGCUGUACAAAAACAGGCGAUAGGCCAGAUUUGACCAUGGUCCAUAGUUUCCCCACCCUUGAUUUAUUCUAUAAAACUAGUAGAAUUCGACUAACUGUUUUGUUUCAUCAAAGCUUUUUUUUUUUUGAGACAGAGUCUUGCUCUGUCGUCUAGGCUGGAGUGCCGUGGCGCAAUUUCGGCUCACUGCAGUCUUCGCCUCCCAAGUUCAAGCAAUUCUGCCUCAGCCUCCUGAGUAGCUGGGAUUACAGGCGUGUGGCACUACACCCAGCUAAUUUUUGUAUUUUUAGUAGAGACAGGGUUUCACCAUGUUGGUCAGGCUGGUCUCAAACUCCUGACCUCAUGAUCCGCCUGCCUUGGCCUCCCAAAGUGCUGGGAUUACAGUCGUGAGCCACCGUGCCUGGCCAUCAAAGCAUUUUUAAUAUAGAAGGUCAGUUGAGUUGCUGCCUAGGAUGCAACCUGAUCUUAAUUUACAAAGUAAUUAAAUUAUUAUAAAAUAAGUUUGCAUUCAUAGAUUAAAAAGUACACAUUUAUUUUAUUAUUAUUAUUUUUUUUUGAGAUGGAGUUUCGCUCUUGUUGCCCAGGCUGGAGUGCAAUGGUGCAAUCUUGGCUCACUGCCACUUCCACCUCCUGGGUUCAAGUGAUUCUCCUGCCUCAGCCUCCCGAGUAGCUGGGAUUACAGGCAUGCGCCACCAUGCCUGGCUCAUUUUGUAUUUUUAGGAGAGAUGGGGUUUCUCCAUGUUGGUCAGGCUGGUCUCGAACUCCCGACCUCAGGUGAUCUGCCCACCUCGGACUCCCAAAGUGCUGGGAUUACAGGUGUGAAACACCACGUCCUGCUAAAAAGUACACAUUUAAAAUCUAAGUUCCAUUUUCCCGUCAUGUUUAUUAAUUUGUCCCAUUGCAGGAUAUGUUUCUGUUGUCCGCAUGGGUAGAGAUAAUUUUAAAAGCUUGGUUAAGUAAGAACUGAUUUUCUUAAUUAUUGCCCUUUAGGUUAAAAAAAAAAAGUCUGGGGAAUUUUUAAGCAAUCUGCCAGCCAAGAAGCAAAUUUAAGUCCCACCUAGUUUAGUUCCUACAGAAAUGGGUAGGAAUAGGCUAGGCAUGGUGUUUCAGACCUGUAAUUUCAGCAUUUCGGGAGACUGAGUUAGGAGGAUUGCUUGUGUAACAUUUAGUACUUAACCUUACGUAAUUAUGAAUGCAAGUUUUUUGUCCUGGGUGCAAGAUUAUAUUUAUUUGAGCGUAUCAAGUGAACAAGUUUACAUUUAAAGGCGAGAGUUAUAGGUCAGCCCUGGCAACAUAGUGAGACCCUAUAUCUACAAAAAUUUUAAAAAAUUAGCUGGGCGUGGUGGCUCAUGACUAUAGUCCCAAAUACUCAGGAGGCUGAGGCAGGAGGAUCACCUGAGCCCAGAAGUUCGAAGGUUGCUAUGAAUGUGCCGGUGCACUCUAGCCUGGGCAGUAGAGGGAGAUGGUGUCUCAAAAAAAAAAAAAAAAAAAAAAAGUAUGGGAAUCAUUUAAUCAUCUUGUUAGAUGCCUGAUCUUAUUACUUAUUAGGACUAAUUAUUAAGAAAUUAAAGCACAACUCAUUUGCUGUUGUCUUCAGCGUAGUUGGUGACUUUGGAAGGUGGCAGAUUUAGCCCAGUGAUUGUCGUUUCUCAAAAUGUUUUCAGAACUCGUUUUUUACUAUUACAACAACAUAAUAUCCAUUGUUGGAAUAAGCAUAUCACUCCCUUUAAAGUCAUACUCUCAGUCGUGAUAUUAAUUCUGGUAUAUUUAUUAAAGUCAGCUUGUGCUUUACUCUUUCUAGAAGUAUUCAACUUCUAUAGGCUAACACUGCCCCAACAAAGUAAAAAUAUAGGUCACGAGAAGGGCAUCUUUUAUUGAAUCCAUUUUGCUAGAUUUCGUGUGAGCUGUUUCUGAAGUCUCCCAAGAAAAUUUUCUGAAAUUUCUUGAAUUUUUAAAUAUGCUCCUUUUCGAUGACCUUUUGAUAAUUAUUUCCUUCUUUAAAUCUGACCUACAGUAACAUUACCUUUCUAAAGAACAGAAAUCCUUGGUGUUGGGGGAGGAGCAGCUUUUAUAUAGUUGCUUAUGAGGUUGGUUUUGUUUUUUUCCUAAGGAAGGCUGGGUUGCUUUUGUGAUCUUAUCUAUUUCAAAUGGUUAAUCAAUUCUAUUCACUUCUCCUGUAUACAGCUUCAUAAAGGUAGAAGAGAUGAACCUUAGAACGUACAGUCUUUUUCUGCAGACAGAAUUUCUUAAUCAUUACAUAAACAUUAUUCGGAAAAGUUUUCAGUAGUUUCAUGGCCCUCCUCAAUAGUAACUUUCAGUAUUUAUACUGAAUAGCUCUUUGCAACUAGCCUAAAAGAGUCCUUUAUUUUUGUUCUUUUUUCUCUCUUAUCUGUGGAGAUUGAAAAUAUAUUGCCAUCCUUCAGAAAGCGCUUCUUACUAUACUCUAUUGGAUGAAACUUUAAUAUUGAAGUUUUCAGUAACUCUAAAGAUACUUGAAUACCUACCAAGUAUAAGGCACUAUGCCAGCACUGCAUAGCUUUCCUUGAAGAAGAGCAAUUACUGCCCUUCAGGAAUAUAUAAUCUAGUAGGAGAAAUAAAAUAUUUACAUGAGUUUUACGUGUAGGAAACUGAAUGAAAAG
This 4150-nucleotide long non-coding RNA is filed under the name Homo sapiens (human). RNAcentral's name for it is "HSALNT0389316". Lineage: Eukaryota; Metazoa; Chordata; Mammalia; Primates; Hominidae. The record is from RNAcentral.